Molecule: ribosomal RNA, 1152 nt
Filed under: uncultured bacterium
Lineage: Bacteria
Description: bacterial SSU rRNA
Rfam family: Bacterial small subunit ribosomal RNA
Source: RNAcentral
AAAGUUUGAUCCUGGCUCARUGGGCAUGCUGGCGGCGUGCCUAWCAUAUGCAAGUCGAGCGGCAGCGCGGUCUUCGGACUGGCGGCGAGCGGCGGACGGCUGAGUAACGCGUGGGAACGUACCCCAAAGUGAGGAAUAACCGCCCGAARGGGUGGCUAAUGCCGYAUAUGAUCUUCGGAUUAAAGGAUUUAUCCGCUUUGGGAACGGYMUGCGUACGAUUAGAUAGUUGGUGAGGUAAAGGCUUACCAAGUCUACGAUCGUUAACUGGUCUGAGAGGAUGAUCAGUCAGACUGGAACUGAGAUACGGUCCAGACUCCUACGGGAGGCAGCAGUGAGGAAUCUUCCACAAUGGGCGAAAGCCUGAUGGAGCAACGCCGCGUGCAGGAUGAAGGCCUUAGGGUCGUAAACUGCUUUUAUAAGUGAAGAAUAUGACGGUAACUUAUGAAUAAGCACCGGCUAACUACGUGCCAGCAGCCGCGGUCAUACGUAGGGUGCAAGCAUUAUCCGGAGUGACUGGGCGUAAAGAGUUGCGUAGGUGGUUUGUUAAGUGAAUGGUGAAAUCUGGGGGCUCAACCUCACAGACUAUUAUUCAAACUGGCAAACUCGAGAGCAGCAGAGGUAACUGGAAUUUCUAGUGUAGGAGUGAAAUCCGUAGAUAUUAGAAGGAACACCAAUGGCGUASGCAGGUUACUAGGCUAUUUCUGACACUGAGGCACGAAAGCGUGGGGAGCGAACCGGAUUAGAUACCCGGGUAGUCCACGCCGUAAACUAUGGAUACUAGCUGUUGGAGGUAUCGACCCCUUCAGUAGCGAAGCUAACGCGUUAAGUAUCCCGCCUGUGGAGUACGGUCGCAAGACUAAAACAUAAAGGAAUUGACGGGACYCGCACAGCGGUGGAGCGUGUUCUUUAUUCGACGCUAACGAAGAGCCUUACCAGGCUUGACAUCCUUGGAAUUUCUGUGAAGCARAAGUGCUUUAUGAGCAAGUGACAGGUGAUGCAUGACGUCGUCAGCUCGKGUCGKGAAAUGUCGCUAGUCAUCACGAGCGCAMCCAUGGUAAUAGUUAUUUUCUAUUCGACUGCYYGGUACGGGAGGAAAGGAGGAACGMCCUUGUCAGAUUCCUAAACCYUGCUWRAAACYSCCCUUACCAUUGC